Molecule: ribosomal RNA, 1091 nt
Filed under: Coelorinchus aspercephalus (rough-head whiptail)
Lineage: Eukaryota; Metazoa; Chordata; Actinopteri; Gadiformes; Macrouridae
Description: partial 16S ribosomal RNA
Rfam family: Bacterial large subunit ribosomal RNA
Source: RNAcentral
CAAUAGAGUGGGAAGAGCUUUAAGUAGAGGUGAUAAACCUAUCGAGCACAGUUAUAGCUGGUUGCCUAAGAAAUGGAUAGAAGUUCAGCCCUUAAAAUAUUCCCCAGCCACCCUCAAUAGUUGUUAUGAUAAAGGAAAAUUAAGGAGUUAGACAGAAGGGGUACAGCUCUUCUGAAUAAAGAAACAACUUUAGUAGGUGAAUCAGGAUCAUAUUAAUCAAGGACUAAAAUUUAAGUGGGCCUAAAAGCAGCCACCUUCAAAGAAAGCGUUAAAGCUCCAACUAUUUAACACGUCCCUUUAUACUGAUAUAUUGCUUCUCCCCCUCCCUACUAUUUAAUAGGCUAUCUUAUGCCCCCAUAAGAAUAAUUAUGCUAAAAUGAGUAAUAAGAAGAAACUUCUUCUCCCAGCAUACAUGUAAGUCAGACCGGACCACCCACCGAUUAUUAUACGACCCCAAACUCAGAGGGACAUAAGUUAAAAAACAAGAAAAUCACUUAACUAAAAUCGUUAACCCCACACAGGAAUGCAUUAAGGAAAGACUAAAAGGAAAGGAAGGAACUCGGCAAACUCAAGCCUCGCCUGUUUACCAAAAACAUCGCCUCUUGAUCUAUAUAAUAUAAGAGGUCUCGCCUGCCCAGUGACUAAGUGUUAAACGGCCGUGGUAUCUUAACCAUGCGAAGGUAGCGUAAUCAUUUGUCUUUUAAAUGAAGACCUGUAUGAAUGGCAAAACGAGGGCUUAACUGUCUCCCUUCCCCAGUCAAUGAAAUUGAUCUCCCCGUGCAGAAGCGGGGAUAUAACUAUAAGACGAGAAGACCCUGUGGAGCUUUAGACUUAAAAUAACCCUGUAAAAUGAACUUUAACACAAGCAUAAACUUAGCGAAACUUAUUUAAAUGUCUUUGGUUGGGGUGACCACGGGGCAAAACAUAACCCCCACGAAGAUUGGGGAGACAUCCCUAACACUAAGAGAUACCCCUCUAAGUAACAAAAUUUUUGACUUUAAAAAUGAUCCGGUAUUACCGAUUAACGAACUCAGUUACCCCAGGGAUAACAGCGCAAUCCCCUCCCAGAGCCCUUAUCGACGAGGGGGUUU